GGAGCGGUAGUUCAGUUGGUUAGAAUACCGGCCUGUCACGCCGGGGGUCGCGUGUUCGAGUCCCGUCCACUCCGCCA
Molecule: transfer RNA, 77 nt
Filed under: Glaciecola sp.
Lineage: Bacteria; Pseudomonadati; Pseudomonadota; Gammaproteobacteria; Alteromonadales; Alteromonadaceae
Description: tRNA-Asp
Rfam family: tRNA
About the family: Transfer RNA (tRNA) molecules are approximately 80 nucleotides in length. Their secondary structure includes four short double-helical elements and three loops (D, anti-codon, and T loops).
Source: RNAcentral